UAUCCUGGCUCAGGAUGAACGCUAGCGGCAGGCUUAACACAUGCAAGUCGAGGGGUAGAAGUCUUCGGACUUUGAGACCGGCGCACGGGUGCGUAACGCGUAUGCAAUCUGCCUUUCACAGAGGGAUAGCCCAGAGAAAUUUGGAUUAAUACCUCAUAGUAUUAUGGAGUGGCAUCACUUUAUAAUUAAAGUCACAACGGUGAAAGAUGAGCAUGCGUCCCAUUAGCUGGUUGGUAAGGUAACGGCUUACCAAGGCUACGAUGGGUAGGGGUCCUGAGAGGGAGAUCCCCCACACUGGUACUGAGACACGGACCAGACUCCUACGGGAGGCAGCAGUGAGGAAUAUUGGUCAAUGGACGCAAGUCUGAACCAGCCAUGCCGCGUGCAGGAUGACGGUCCUAUGGAUUGUAAACUGCUUUUGUACGAGAAGAAACACUCCUAUGUAUAGGAGCUUGACGGUAUCGUAAGAAUAAGGAUCGGCUAACUCCGUG
RNAcentral lists this ribosomal RNA (491 nucleotides) under uncultured Flavobacterium sp. RNAcentral's name for it is "bacterial SSU rRNA". It matches the Rfam family "Bacterial small subunit ribosomal RNA", at positions 15 to 507 of the family's 1533-position model. The record is from RNAcentral. Lineage: Bacteria; Pseudomonadati; Bacteroidota; Flavobacteriia; Flavobacteriales; Flavobacteriaceae.